RNAcentral lists this ribosomal RNA (488 nucleotides) under uncultured bacterium. Its description in RNAcentral is "bacterial SSU rRNA". It matches the Rfam family "Bacterial small subunit ribosomal RNA", at positions 373 to 851 of the family's 1533-position model. The record is from RNAcentral.
GGGGGCAACCUGCACGCAGCAACGCCGCGUGAGUGAUGAAGGCUUUCGAGUCGUAAAGCUCUGUCAAGUGGGAAGAAUAUAAUAAAUGUUAAUAUCAUUUUUUACUGACGGUACCACUAAAGGAAGCACCGGCUAACUCCGUGCCAGCAGCCGCGGUAAUACGGGGGGUGCAAGCGUUAUUCGGAAUUAUUGGGCGUAAAGGGCGCGUAGGCGGUCUUUUAAGUCAGAUGUGAAAGCCCGGGGCUUAACCUUGGAAGUGCAUUUGAAACUGAAAGACUUGAGUAUGGGAGAGGGAAGUGGAAUUCCUGGUGUAGAGGUGGAAUUCGUAGAUAUCAGGAGGAACACCGGUGGCGAAGGCGACUUCCUGGACCAAUACUGACGCUGAGGCGCGAAGGCGUGGGGAGCAAACAGGAUUAGAUACCCUGGUAGUCCACGCAGUAAACGAUGAACACUAGGUGUAGCGGGUAUUGACCCCUGCUGUGCCGCAG